RNAcentral lists this ribosomal RNA (455 nucleotides) under uncultured organism. Its description in RNAcentral is "bacterial SSU rRNA". It matches the Rfam family "Bacterial small subunit ribosomal RNA", at positions 346 to 794 of the family's 1533-position model. The record is from RNAcentral.
GCGCACCAGUCUAGAAUUUUUGACAAUGGGGGAAACCCUGAUCGAGCGACGCCGCGUGGAGGAUGAAGGUCUUCGGAUUGUAAACUCCUGUCAUUGGGGAACAAGGUGCAUACGUUAACUGCGUGUGUAUUGAUAGUACCCGAAGAGGAAGGGACGGCUAACUCUGUGCCAGCAGCCGCGGUAAUACAGAGGUCCCAAGCGUUGUUCGGAUUCAUUGGGCGUAAAGGGUGCGUAGGCGGCGCGGUAAGUCGGGUGUGAAAUCUCGGAGCUUAACUCCGAAACUGCAUUCGAUACUGCCGUGCUUGAGGACUGGAGAGGAGACUGGAAUUUACGGUGUAGCGGUGAAAUGCGUAGAUAUCGUAAGGAAGACCAGUGGCGAAGGCGGGUCUCUGGACAGUUCCUGACGCUGAGGCACGAAGGCCAGGGGAGCAAACGGGAUUAGAUACCCCCGUAGU